CAAUAGCGUAUAUUAAAGUUGUUGCAGUUAAAAAGCUCGUAGUUGAAUUUCGGGUCCCCGCGCUCGGCGCUUCAUUGUGCCGUCGUGGUGUCCCUCCUCGCCGUAAGGCGUCCUUUACUGUGAAAAAAUUAGAGUGUUCAAAGCAGGCAAUCGCUUGAAUACAUUAGCAUGGAAUAAUAAGAUAGGAUCUUGUCUAUUUUGUUGGUUGCGGACAACGAUAAUGAUUAAUAGGGAUAGUUGGGGGUGUCCGUAUUGAGCUGUCAGAGGUGAAAUUCUUGGAUUUGCUCAAGACGAACUACUGCGAAAGCAUUCACCAAGGAUGUUUNCAUUAG
RNAcentral lists this ribosomal RNA (332 nucleotides) under uncultured eukaryote. Its description in RNAcentral is "partial 18S ribosomal RNA". It matches the Rfam family "Eukaryotic small subunit ribosomal RNA", at positions 592 to 976 of the family's 1831-position model. The record is from RNAcentral.